This 22-nucleotide microRNA is filed under the name Cordylochernes scorpioides. Lineage: Eukaryota; Metazoa; Arthropoda; Arachnida; Pseudoscorpiones; Chernetidae. The record is from RNAcentral.
GUCGGUGGGAUUUUCGUCUGUC